AUGUAUUCAAAUGAUCUCUCAUCUUCUAUGCUUAUUCUCCACGAUCGCUGCCAUAUUUAUCAACAUCCCGAACUGAAUAUGAAUGAAGUCAACUAUAUUCAUUUCUCUCCUAAACAGUCAUCCUUUGUCGUCCCUUUCUUAAUUACUGGUAUCAUUAUCCUAGCCAAUCUGUUUCAUUUCCCUUUCUCACAUUAAAGGGCCCCUGUGACUCUCACACUUUUGUGCUUCCUCUCAAAUGUUUUCUUCCAGUGUUGCUUUUAGGUGACCUUCUGAUUCCCCUUAGCUGAGCUGCUGUCUUACCCGAGAAGCCCUAGAAGCUUAUAUCCAAUGCCACAAGCCUCCCCCAGGCCAUGUGAAAGCCUGGCUUCUCUCUGCUGGUCCUAGUCUUAGGACUCCUUAUGGAGGGACUGAGCGGUGUUGGGUAAGGGUAAGAGGACAGGAGAGUGCAGUUCUUACACGGGCUUCUGGAGGCUGAUCAGUGGGUUCUGCCCUCUGCACUUUUAUAGCACUUUAUAAGUACAGCUUGUAUUUAUAUUAUAUGUAAAUACAACGUGGAGUGCCUUAAGGAACAAAGGCAGUCAGUGUAUUUCUCAUCCCCGAGACAGCCAGUAUAUUCUAAGUGGCAAACACUUUGAGCAGCAUGAGCACAAAGGUAAUGUAAUUGCUUAUUGUCCCUGCUCUCACCCAAGGGCUGAAACUGGCAUUAAAGAAAAACAAACAAACAACCUGAUUUCAUUGUUCUCCAUCAGCCCCUUGCCACUGUCCCUAGUUGUUGUGGCUCUUUCUCAAAAUUCCAGAAUGGCAGUACCUUCACUUGAGAACUCAAGAUUACCUUUCACUUUCCCAAUAUCAGAACUGAAAAAUAUUCAGAGAAUCAUGUAAUAGUCUUCAUGACCCUUAAGAGAUGAUGUAUUCCAGUCCUCAUAUUUCACUCUGGUUGAUCAGAGGGAAAAAACAACCUAUUCAAAGGCACACAGUUAACUAGGGGCAUAAGCGUGCAUAGAAAUAAUUAGUGGUAUAAAUAUAAGCAGAAAGCAGAUUGUUUUUUCUCAGUUCUAUGCUCUUUCUGCUCUAUAUCAAACUAUAUUUUUUGUAGUUUGAUUGUACAUCCUGUCCUUAAAGGGUAAAGUUUUAGUGACUCUCAAAUUGAAAAUGGUCUAUUGUCACAUCCAUAAAGAGGUAUUAAUGAUUGAUAAUAGCUUAAUGUGUUAUUAUCUUUUAAGAAUUUGCCAUUCAACCAGCACCUAAGCACAAUAUGGAAGAAUGAAUUUCUAAAGAUAGUGUGUAAAACACACUUAUAAUGAAAGAACUUUUGGGUAGCUGUGAUUGAAAUUCGAUCACAUUAGUCAACCACCUACUUGUCAUAGGAUUUAAUGCUAGGCUUAUUGUGGGUAUUGGCUGAUUGAUAUGAACUUCUGUCAUAAGAUUUACGCCAUCAGUGUUGGAAAGAACCAGAGAGCUCAUCUAGUCUAGACUCUUCUUUUCAUGACUGUAUUACCCAAGGUUACACAGCUGGUUAUUUUGCAGAACCAGAACUUUUACGCAUGCGGGUUGACUUUUUACACAGUUCUUGAAUUACUUGAAUCUAGGGAUAAAGUGAUUUGAAAACAAGGAUGUGUACCAAAAUCACCUGGAUCAUCUGAGAAACUUUUUCAAAAGAUGUAUACUUGUGUAUAUUUAUUCUUCACGUCUCUUUCUGGUUCUAUAGGCCUAAGAGAGAUAUCCAACAAUUAUACUUAAAGAUUGCAGUAUAAUUUAUAUAGACUAAAUACAUAAAUCUUAAGUGUAAAUGUCAUGAUUUUUUUAUGCACACACAUAAGCAUAUAUAACGAUAUACAUCCACACAUCUGUGUGACCUGUGUGCUAAAAUAAAAAUAAAUUAAGAUAUUCAGAUUCUGGAAAACUGUGUUAUCCUUUUCAGUCAGUAAACCCCUUCCUCCAAGGAUAAC
This 1949-nucleotide long non-coding RNA is filed under the name Callithrix jacchus (white-tufted-ear marmoset). RNAcentral's name for it is "lncRNA (ENSCJAG00000083127.1)". Lineage: Eukaryota; Metazoa; Chordata; Mammalia; Primates; Cebidae. The record is from RNAcentral.